GACGAACGCUGGCGGCGUGCUUAACACAUGCAAGUCGAACGGAAAGGCCCUGCUUUUGUGGGGUGCUCGAGUGGCGAACGGGUGAGUAACACGUGAGUAACCUGCCCUUGACUUUGGGAUAACUUCAGGAAACUGGGGCUAAUACCGGAUAGGAGCUCCUGCUGCAUGGUGGGGUUUGGAAAGUUUCGGCGGUUGGGGAUGGACUCGCGGCUUAUCAGCUUGUUGGUGGGGUAGUGGCUUACCAAGGCUUUGACGGGUAGCCGGCCUGAGAGGGUGACCGGCCACAUUGGGACUGAGAUACGGCGCAGACUCCUACGGGAGGCAGGAGUGGGGAAUAGUGCACAAUGGGCGGAAGCCUGAUGCAGCAACGCCGCGUGCGGGAUGACGGCCUUCGGGUUGUAAACCGCUUUCGCCUGUGACGAAGCGUGAGUGACGGUAAUGGGUAAAGAAGCACCGGCUAACUACGUG
RNAcentral lists this ribosomal RNA (468 nucleotides) under uncultured bacterium. RNAcentral's name for it is "partial 16S ribosomal RNA". It matches the Rfam family "Bacterial small subunit ribosomal RNA", at positions 28 to 507 of the family's 1533-position model. The record is from RNAcentral.